Molecule: ribosomal RNA, 3951 nt
Filed under: Triticum aestivum (bread wheat)
Lineage: Eukaryota; Viridiplantae; Streptophyta; Magnoliopsida; Poales; Poaceae
Description: partial small subunit ribosomal RNA
Source: RNAcentral
CGGAGGAACGGGCACACCUGGCGCGCUGCCUCGAGGCCGCGCUCGAGCAGGUGAGGAGGGAGUCGAUGCGGCAGGGCGCGGCGCUGGACGAGCUGAGGCGGCGGCUCGAGCGGCGGCGGGCGCGCGCGGACAAGCUCCUCGCCACCAGGCGGAGGGCCGCCGAGGGCGUCGAGCACCGCAAGGAGCAGAUGCAGGCGCAGAUCGAGCGGGUGCUGCCGCCGCGCACCGACAAGUGCAGGUACCUGCCUGCCCGCCCGUUUCUUCCUCUCAAUGCGAGACUGGAGGCCGAUCUUGCCGGUGAGGAGACGGUGGCGGCGCCGACGAGCCGUCCCCCUUGGCGCCGUUGCCGCUGGGCACCGAGACAAAGGAGUGCUGGAUGCCAACGCCUCGAGGCCUGCCUCAAGUACAGAUCAUCAGCGGAAAAUAUUCAAUCAACAUACGACCACUGAGGGGAUCCAUCGGUGGUAUUCCUAUUGCUCUCGCAGUCUCUACAUUUCAUCCUUUUUUUGGAUUUUGCGAUCUUUUCAAAUAAGAGAUGGGCAACAAUGCUUUUUCUCCAUGCUAGCAAUAUGAAUGAUGAAGGAGAAGAGCAAAGAACACAAAUCUUCCCCACGGCUAUUGAUUUUAUGCACAUCGGCUGCAUCAUGUGAUAUGGUAAACCAACAGAGGUAUGUGGAUAAUCCAAACUGCUUAUUUUUCGUCCGACACCGCCCCACCUUCAGUGACCUGAUUGCUAACAAAAUGUCACAGUAGGUUUGUUUCGAAGUAUCAGUUCAAAAUAUGGCGAUUGAAUAAAAAAACACUAUCUUAUUUUUUAUCUCAUGGAUCAUACUUUAAAGUUAAUAAUUUUUAUAAUGCUCUGUAAUAGAGUCGUGUUGGUUGUGUAAUUCUUGAGUGAGUUACAUGUUCUCUCCAUCACCCCCUUUAUUUUUUGCAAAUCAAUUGCCGUCUUCAUGUGUUUCAGCUGCUAGGACUGAAGGCCGAAGUUAUGUAUGUUUAAUCUCAGCAAUUUAGUUAUAAGUCUAAUUAAUUCAUACCGUCUCUGAAAGAUUCAGUUCUAAUUGGUUGCAUACUUGCCAAAGAUCAUAUGACACAGUAGCCAUGGACGCCACAUCAGCUUGGGAACAUGGCCACAACAGAUUGGUAUCUUCUCUUCUGAAAUUGGUUGCAUACUUGCCAAAGGUCGCAUGACUCAGCAGCCAUGGACGCCACAUCUGCUUGGGAAUGUGGCCGCAACAGAUUGGUAUUUGUUGGAUGGCAACUCUAAGCUGCAUGUUCAUUGGGAGAAUCAUGAUGAAUCUUUGAUGAACACUGUCAAAGAUGAAAAGGCGAAUUCUUUGAUUCCCCGGGCUGUCAGGGAUUUUGUACUUCCAGCAGGUUUUCUAGGUGAAUGUUGGCAUCCCCGUGUGGUUUGGUUAUGCAUCGAUGCAUUGCUUUUGCUCUUUGUCAUGGAGUACUAACUGUGGAGGUUCAGGUUUACAAUCUUAGAAAUGCAGUGAUUGAUGUGUUUUCUAAUCGUAAUGCAGCAAACAAAUUGUUUUGCAAGUUAUGUACUUUAAUUAUCUGUAUCUUACCAUUCUUACCAAGUACUGUCAAAUGUACAGCUUGAUUUUGUAUAUGUAUUUCCCUCAGUUUCUUGUAGGUUCCUGCAUAAGAGGUCAUUAUUGCAGAGUUGGAGACUGACACUAUGUUUAUCAGUACAUGCUAUUGGAAUUCCCAACAAACUUGACAGGAUGGAUCAGUCACACGUUGGUUACAUCAAGUCUUCUAAAGGUAUCCCGUAAUCUAUUAAUCAAGAUGUUUGCAGAACUACAUAAUGUUGUAGUGACUGAACGAUUACCUGAUAAAUUAAAUUCAGUAAGUAUAUCAUUUACAGUAGCAUCUUAUUCUUAUAUGAUGUAAUAUAUGAUCAUAUGGAUUGCAGUAUUUGAUAGCUCCAAAAUAACUUCAAGAUUUUGCCACGUGCUCUCAAACAAUCGUAGUCCGAAAAUUUGGUGGCCAGUUGCUGCUAUCUCUACUCUGCUUCGUCCUUUCGUAAUGGAAAUAAGAAAUCUUGAUUGCUGCCAACAUGAAAUUCUAACUGAAUUUGUUAUUCGGCGGGCAAAUCCAACAUCUUUUUGUACUGUAUUUGCAUGUUCCAGGAUAAUUUGGUGGCAAAAGAGCUACGUCGUUUCUCACUAGACCAACAGACAAUAGUAGUGAUACCUUUGCAUUUAUAUAGUACCAUAUUUACUCAUCUGUAUACACUGUUCCUUUCAUUCCUCACACCACAAGUAUCUAACGGCCGGAUAGGUCCAGUCCAGCCGAGACACAUAUAUUCCAGUCCAACAUACUCCCUCCAUCCAAAAAAGCUUGUCCCAAGUUUUUUCGGAUGGAGGGAAUAUAUAGUCCAGUCACACAUGCUCUAACGUGAUUUCACGAGAGAUAGUUAGGCCAGCAACAGUAUAUCCGUAAAGAAUAGCGACAGCUAAAGGAAACCAUUCAGCAGGUAAGAAUGAGAUAGACUUUUCAGUGCCAGGCAACCAUUGCGUUGUAGAGAAGUGGAACAACAUUCAUCGUACUGCUAUUGUUAAUCGAAAGAACUUUCUUUUGUUAACAUGGUACCCAGUAACGUGUGCAUAUGCAUUUUUCUCCUGUAGUCCUAGAGGGAUAAAGACACAUAUAAUUACGAUGGAGGUGACAGGCCUGAAAAUGUGAGAAUUGAAGCAAUAUAUUCCCUUGUAUAUAUGUUUUCUCUUUUGAAAUAUCUCAAUAGUUUUCCAAUUUGUUUCCUGUAAAUCUCAUAUUUUAAUACUCCUUAGACCUUAGUAAUGCAUAGGUGUAAUAUUUGUUGAUAUUGCAAUUUUGAAGGAUCUGCUUUUCUUGUAUAGAUCUAUUUUUUUAAUCUUGAAGGCAGUACGAGAGGCCCUAAUGACAUAUAUACAGUACUAACAAGAAUAUGGGGGCUUUCAUAACUUGAGGUAUUUACCUAGAUCCUUGAGAUGCUAUUCGUAUUGGCCUGAAUGCAGUUGAGUUUUGAAUCAUAAACAAGCUGGGAGAUUUGUCUUCCACAUAGUAGUUUUUAGUGCAUGCUCGGAGAACAAGAUAAGAGGAGAGGCUUGAAUCUUGAGAUGACAAGGGUAGUCACCUGCUGCGACUAAAGGAAGGAGGUCAAUGAAGCAAAAGGCACGAAAAGGAAGGAGCAGCGCCACAUGGACGAUGUUGUCGGCAGCGCUUUGGAAGGAUUCGCUCCAGAGAAGUUACAGUAGUCAGCCAUCGCCCAAGGGAAGUAGGGAGGAUGUCGUUCGAAACGCCUGGGUCUAGAGGAGUGUGUCCAAGUGGUGGCCGAGGAUGGCGACGAGCAAUUGGGUUGGGCAUUUAUCAACGUGAUGGCGUCGUUCCUCAAGGUACCAACACCCUUGUUUUGACCCAAUGUUUCUUGGCUAACUGUGCAUGGCUGGGACUGUUUCAUGCAUAUGGGGGACGACUCAUGCCAUCCACUUCCAAAGCAAUAAGACUUGAAAGGAGAAAAUAUUGGCAAAAAGUCCCUCAAAAUUCGUAGUCUGGGUGUAGAAGGUUUGGGGAUUUUGAGCCGGAUGGGCCAUUGAUGGUUGCGGUUGGCUUGGAUAGGGAAUGUAGAGAUAGUAAGUGAAGAGGAGCAGGAGAACGAAGACGAAGAAGAAUAGUGGUUUAUAGGCAGAAAAAAAUUAAGAAUGUUGCUUAAUGUGCAUGAGGAUCCAAACAAUGUAUAUUUGACACGAUUAAAGUUGACUCAUGUCGAGCCUCAGGAUGGUGGUGGAGCGGUCAUGAUGGACAGUUAUUGUGCAAGAAUUUGUUAAACGCAUCAAAUAGAUAUUAAUUUGUAACAAAUUUUCAGUUCGAUCAUCGCACUAUAUGUAUGCAUUGUCAAAUUGCCUUUUAUUAAUAGUUACAAUGUAAGUGAAGUGGACUUAAAUUAUUACUCGAUUAUAC